This is a long non-coding RNA of Cryptomeria japonica (Japanese cedar), 1401 nucleotides long. RefSeq lists it as uncharacterized. The transcript is spliced from 3 exons. NCBI's taxonomy places the organism in Eukaryota, Viridiplantae, Streptophyta, Pinopsida, Cupressales, Cupressaceae. The record is from RefSeq and is a predicted model, not a curated record.
UAUGUAAAGGUCAAGGAAUACAUUGGUCAAAACAGAGAGGUUUGUUCAAGAGACAAAAUUGCAAAACAAUUUUUGCAAACACUCAACAAAGACAAUGACAACUAUUUGGCAACGAAGGGAAUUCGUAGCUGCAUUGAUGCCUCAAUAAAGACCAUCUAUCAUUCAAAAAUGUGAAAAACUACGGGAAGCAGAGGAAUGUUUGGGUAUGGCUGCAAAAAAGGUGAUGAUGCUGGAUGAAAAGGAACAAAAAUUGAUAGAGUUUGGUUUGGCAAAGAGUGUUGACACAAACAAUCAAUAUAUUGGAAAUGUUUCUUUCAAAAAGAAGAUGGAGGAGAAAAUGAACACUGAUGUAGAGAAGUUUCCUAAGGACAGUAGUGAGGCAAGUUUUUUGGGUUACAUCGAACCAUUGAUAACCUUGAAUGCAAUAUUGAAUGAAACAUUGGUGUCAAAUUCAGAUUCCUCUUCCAGAUAUGAAAUGCUGACAAAUUUCCAGGUUGCUUUCUAUAUGUUACAGCAAAUUAGACUUCCAUCAGAUGCAGAGUGGAGCACCCUACAAAAACUUACACGGUGAUUUCAUAAUAUGUAUUAUCAACACAGGCCAUCACAUAGAACUUUGUUGCACAGGUGAAAUCAGGGUUUUAAUAAUUUAUCUGCUCCAAUUUUUAGUCAGAUUUCAGUUCAGCGGUCAUUCGGCUAUGUUCUCAGAUUGUCAAAGGCUUUACAUACAUUGCAAGGAAACAUAAGGCGUAAAUACAGAGCCUAUUGGCAGAUUCUCAGGAAGAAGAUGCACUAGGUGCAAGAGUAAAUAUCAGUAAUUUUAAAAAUCAAUCUCCAGGUUAGGCACUCGGGUACCUCACCAAUUCAUCUCUACAGUUCAUUAUUGAUUUUCAAUUGUUGACCAAUAAACAAAAAAUGAAUAUCUUAAGUGUCUCUCUAUUAGUGAGAGAGGUAGGAAGUGAUAUAAAAUUUGUGCCCAUUCCAAUUGAUCUUCCUCAAUUUACCAUAAUUUUAUUUGGUCAUUUAAAAUGUUACUUUGUGGGUGGGUUUGUGCUCGUGGCCACCCCCUUUGUAGUCAAAAGGCCUCUCAGGCAAUAAAACCAUCUUCAUGACCCCAAGCUUUGGCUCGCCUUCUCCAUUUUUCAACUAUUUCAUUAGCAUCUCAUUUCCCUCUAACUGGUGUUCAUUUCCCAGUGAUCGGGCAUGCAACUAGGUGCUGAGGGUUUCAUUGUGUGGUUUUUAUACACCAUGGUGUGUUUGGUUUGUCUUUUUCCACUCAUUUUUUUGUUUAUGUGAGGAGAAUAGAAAACUUUAUUAGUUUCUUGGCUCAAGAUCAGGUAUGUCUUGGUCCCCUCAACAAUAUAAAUGAUUUUCCUUUCUUUAGAGUAUACAAAAACUGGAGGC